RNAcentral lists this ribosomal RNA (439 nucleotides) under uncultured bacterium. RNAcentral describes it as "partial 16S ribosomal RNA". It matches the Rfam family "Bacterial small subunit ribosomal RNA", at positions 338 to 795 of the family's 1533-position model. The record is from RNAcentral.
CCUACGGGAGGCAGCAGUGGGGGAUAUUGCACAAUGGGGGAAACCCUGAUGCAGCGAUGCCGCGUGAAUGAAGACGGCCUUCGGGUUGUCAAGUUCUGUCGCAGGGGACGAAAAUGACGGUACCCUGCAAGAAAGCCCCGGCUAACUACGUGCAAGCAGCCGCGGUAAUACGUAGGGAGCAAGAGUUGUCCGGAAUUACUGGGUGUAAAGGGAGCGUAGGCGGGAGGAGAAGUUGAAUGUGAUAUCUAUGGGCUUAACCCAUGGUUGCGUGCAAAACUGUUCUUCUUGAGUGAAGUAGAGGCAGGCGGAAUUCCUAGUGUAGCGGUGAAAUGCGUAGAUAUGAGGAGGAACACCAGUGGCGAAGGCGGCCUGCUGGGCUUUUACUGACGCUGAGGCUCGAAAGCGUGGGUAGCAAACAGGAGUAGAUACCCUGGUAGUC